GACGAACGCUGGCGGCGUGCUUAACACAUGCAAGUCGAACGGGCUGCCUGGUUUUCGGAUCGGGUGGUGAGUGGCGAACGGGUGAGUAACACGUGAGUAACUUGCCCCUCUCUUUGGGAUAACGUCGGGAAAUCGGCGCUAGUACCGGGUAUUCUGGCUUCCUCGCAUGGGGUUGUUGGGAAAGGUUUUUUCUGGUGGGGGAUGGGCUCGCGGCCUAUCAGCUUGUUGGUGGGGUGAUGGCCUACCAAGGCGGUGACGGGUAGCCGGCCUGAGAGGGUGUCCGGCCACACUGGGACUGAGACACGGCCCAGACUCCUACGGGAGGCAGCAGUGGGGAAUAUUGCACAAUGGGCGGAAGCCUGAUGCAGCGACGCCGCGUGGGGGAUGACGGCCUUCGGGUUGUAAACCUCUUUCAGUGCAGAACAAGGCUCUUUGUGGGUUGAGGGUAUGCGCAGAAGAAGCGCCGGCUAACUACGUG
This 478-nucleotide ribosomal RNA is filed under the name uncultured bacterium. RNAcentral describes it as "partial 16S ribosomal RNA". It matches the Rfam family "Bacterial small subunit ribosomal RNA", at positions 28 to 507 of the family's 1533-position model. The record is from RNAcentral.